ACCUUCGGGCCUCUUGCCAUCAGAUGUGCCCAGAUGGGAUUAGCUUGUUGGUGAGGUAACGGCUCACCAAGGCGACGAUCCCUAGCUGGUCUGAGAGGAUGACCAGCCACACUGGAACUGAGACACGGUCCAGACUCCUACGGGAGGCAGCAGUGGGGAAUAUUGCACAAUGGGCGCAAGCCUGAUGCAGCCAUGCCGCGUGUAUGAAGAAGGCCUUCGGGUUGUAAAGUACUUUCAGCGGGGAGGAAGGUGUUGUGGUUAAUAACCGCAGCAAUUGACGUUACCCGCAGAAGAAGCACCGGCUAACUCCGUGCCAGCAGCCGCGGUAAUACGGAGGGUGCAAGCGUUAAUCGGAAUUACUGGGCGUAAAGCGCACGCAGGCGGUCUGUCAAGUCGGAUGUGAAAUCCCCGGGCUCAACCUGGGAACUGCAUUCGAAACUGGCAGGCUUGAGUCUUGUAGAGGGGGGUAGAAUUCCAGGUGUAGCGGUGAAAUGCGUAGA
Molecule: ribosomal RNA, 500 nt
Filed under: Salmonella enterica
Lineage: Bacteria; Pseudomonadati; Pseudomonadota; Gammaproteobacteria; Enterobacterales; Enterobacteriaceae
Description: bacterial SSU rRNA
Rfam family: Bacterial small subunit ribosomal RNA
Source: RNAcentral